GGAUCUCUACUACCUUGCUCAUUUGCUCAUUAUCUCAUUAUCCUUGGAAAAGCUGAACAAAAUGAGUGAAAAUUCAAUACCACCUCUCUCAUCGGGACUGAGGUCC
RNAcentral lists this small nucleolar RNA (106 nucleotides) under Meriones unguiculatus (Mongolian gerbil). RNAcentral describes it as "Small nucleolar RNA SNORD116 (ENSMUGG00000002784.1)". It matches the Rfam family "Small nucleolar RNA SNORD116". Rfam says of the family: HBII-85 is a member of the C/D class of snoRNAs, which contain the C (UGAUGA) and D (CUGA) box motifs. HBII-85 is encoded in a tandemly repeated array with another C/D snoRNA, HBII-52, in the Prader-Willi syndrome (PWS) region of chromosome 15. The record is from RNAcentral. Lineage: Eukaryota; Metazoa; Chordata; Mammalia; Rodentia; Muridae.